This 443-nucleotide ribosomal RNA is filed under the name uncultured bacterium. RNAcentral describes it as "partial 16S ribosomal RNA". It matches the Rfam family "Bacterial small subunit ribosomal RNA", at positions 338 to 795 of the family's 1533-position model. The record is from RNAcentral.
CCUACGGGUGGCUGCAGUGGGGAAUAUUGGGCAAUGGGCGCAAGCCUGACCCAGCAACGCCGCGUGAAGGAAGAAGGCUUUCGGGUCGUAAACUUCUUUUCUCAGGGACGAAGAAAGUGACGGUACCUAAGGAAUAAGUCACGGCUAACUACGUGCCAGCAGCCGCGGUAAUACGUAGGUGGCAAGCGUGAUACGGAUUUAUUGGGUGUAAAGGGCGUGUAGGCGGGAGCGCAAGUCAGAUGUGAAAACUCAGGGCUCAACCCUGGGCCUGCAUUUGAAACUGUGUGUCUUGAGUGCUGGAGAGGCAAGCGGAAUUCCGGGUGUAGCGGUGAAAUGCGUAGAUAUACGGAGGAACACCAGUGGCGAAGGCGGAUUGCUGGACAGUAACUGACGCUGAGGCGCGAAAGUGUGGGGAGCAAACAGGAUUAGAUACCCUUGUAGUC